Molecule: ribosomal RNA, 269 nt
Filed under: uncultured prokaryote
Description: partial 16S ribosomal RNA
Rfam family: Bacterial small subunit ribosomal RNA
Source: RNAcentral
GACAGAGGUGGCAAGCGUUGUUCGGAAUUACUGGGCAUAAAGGGCGCGUAGGCGGUCAGAUAGGUCAGGGGUGAAAGCCCUCGACUCAAUCGGGGAAUUGCCUCUGAAACCAUCUGACUAGAGUGCAAGAGGGGAGAGUGGAACUCGAGGUGGAGCGGUGAUAUGCGUAGAUAUCUCGAGGAACGCCGGUGGCGAAAGCGACUCUCUGGUUUGCAACUGACGCUGAGGCGCGAAAGCCAGGGGAGCGAACGGGAUUAGAUACCCCCGUA